GGGAGUGUAGCUCAGUGGUAGAAUGCUUACCUAACAUGUAAGAUACUGGGUUCAAUUUUCAGCAUUGCAA
RNAcentral lists this transfer RNA (70 nucleotides) under Marmota monax (woodchuck). Its description in RNAcentral is "tRNA.Val". The record is from RNAcentral. Lineage: Eukaryota; Metazoa; Chordata; Mammalia; Rodentia; Sciuridae.